Molecule: ribosomal RNA, 446 nt
Filed under: uncultured bacterium
Lineage: Bacteria
Description: bacterial SSU rRNA
Rfam family: Bacterial small subunit ribosomal RNA
Source: RNAcentral
CCAGACUCCUACGGGAGGCAGCAGUGGGGGAUAUUGCACAAUGGGGGGAACCCUGAUGCAGCGACGCCGCGUGGGUGAAGAAGCGCCUCGGCGCGUAAAGCCCUGUCAGCAGGGAAGAAAAUGACGGUACCUGACUAAGAAGCUCCGGCUAAAUACGUGCCAGCAGCCGCGGUAAUACGUAUGGAGCAAGCGUUAUCCGGAAUUACUGGGUGUAAAGGGAGCGUAGACGGAUGUGCAAGUCUGAUGUGAAAGGCGGGGGCUCAACCCCUGGACUGCAUUGGAAACUGUAAAUCUUGAGUGCCGGAGAGGUAAGCGGAAUUCCUAGUGUAGCGGUGAAAUGCGUAGAUAUUAGGAGGAGCACCAGUGGCGAAGGCGGCUUACUGGACUGUAACUGACGUUGAGGCUCGAAAGCGUGGGGAGCAAACAGGAUUAGAUACCCGCGUAUG